RNAcentral lists this ribosomal RNA (497 nucleotides) under uncultured bacterium. Its description in RNAcentral is "partial 16S ribosomal RNA". It matches the Rfam family "Bacterial small subunit ribosomal RNA", at positions 28 to 507 of the family's 1533-position model. The record is from RNAcentral.
GAUGAACGCUGGCGGCGUGCCUAAUACAUGCAAGUCGAGCGAACGGACGAUAAGCUUGUUUCUUUGAUGUUAGCGGCGGACGGGCGAGUAACACGUGGAUAACCUACUUAUAUGACUGGGAUAAUUUCGGGAAACCGUAGCUAAUACCGGAUAAUAUUUUGAACCGCAUGGUUCAAAAGUGAAAGACGGUCUUGCUGUCUCUUAUAGAUGGAUCCGCGCUGCAUUAGCUAGUUGGUAAGGUAACGGCUUACCAAGGCGACGAUGCAUAGCCGACCUGAGAGGAUGAUCGGCCACACUGGAACUGAGACACGGUCCAGACUCCUACGGGAGGCAGCAGUGGGGAAUCUUCGGCAAUGGGCGAAAGCCUGACGGAGCAACGCCGCGUGAGUGAUGAAGGUCUUCGGAUCGUAAAGCUCUGUUAUUGGGGAAGAACAGAUGUGUAAGUAACUGUGCACAUCUUGACGGUACCUAAUCAAAAAGCCACGGCUAACUACGUG